Molecule: ribosomal RNA, 405 nt
Filed under: grassland soil clone sl2_703
Lineage: Bacteria
Description: bacterial SSU rRNA
Rfam family: Bacterial small subunit ribosomal RNA
Source: RNAcentral
AACACAUGCAAGUCGAACGAGAAAGCAGGGCAACUCUUGAGUAAAGUGGCGACCGGGUGAGUAACACGUAGCUAACCUACCCUCGAGCGGGGGAUAACCUGGGGAAACCUGGGCUAAUACCGCAUAAUAUCCCGAUGUCCAUGACAAUGGGAGCAAAGGCCCGCAAGGGUCACUGGAGGAGGGGGCUGCGGACGAUUAGCUAGUUGGUGAGGUAAUGGCUCACCAAGGCUAUGAUCGUUAGCCGGCCUGAGAGGGCGCACGGCCACACUGGCACUGACACACGGGCCAGACUCCUACGGGAGGCAGCAGUGGGGAAUUUUGCACAAUGCCCGAAAGGGUGAUGCAGCAACGCCGCGUGAGGGAUGAAGGCCUUCGGGUCGUAAACCUCUUUCGAUCGGGAAAAAU